GCCAACGGCCAUAUCGCGUUGCAGAAAACCGAUUCUCGUCCGAUCAUCGAAGUUAAACAGCGCUGAGCGUGGUCAGUACUUGGAUGGGUGACCGCCUGGGAACACCACGUGCUGUUGGCU
Megalopta genalis is the source of this 120-nucleotide non-coding RNA. Lineage: Eukaryota; Metazoa; Arthropoda; Insecta; Hymenoptera; Halictidae. The record is from RefSeq and is a predicted model, not a curated record.